This 2279-nucleotide long non-coding RNA is filed under the name Homo sapiens (human). RNAcentral describes it as "HSALNT0366957". The record is from RNAcentral. Lineage: Eukaryota; Metazoa; Chordata; Mammalia; Primates; Hominidae.
ACCUCAAAACAAACAAACAAACAAACAAACAAACAAAAAACUACAACUUGGUACCUGAAAUCCCAGCAAUAAUUCAUGGUAUUGAGAGAAAGCUGAGGUUCAAUGAACCUUUUUUAAUGAAAGUAGAUGCCUACUACGUGCAAGGUACUUUGUGGGAAAUGUUCAGUGGACUAUGGGUGUGUGUUGCCAGGCAACCAGUGAGAAGGAUAACUCAGGGAUAGAAUACGAGAAGUGCUCUACAAUAAAGGGGAGGAUGGUACAUCACUUGGUAGGCUUGUGCUGGAGGACUGGGGAAGACAAACCAGCUGAAGCAGGACUUGAAUGACAUGGCAUUUCACAAGUAGAGAACUGCGGGGAGCUGAAAGAAGGUCAUCGUGGGAUGAUGUUAGAGGGUGAGCAGAAGCCUCUAUGUGGUCAAGAUCAGGGUUUAUUUAAAGGCUAUUUUUUAAAUGACCAAUAUGGUAGUAGUCUGCUUGGUGGAGGUUAGGUGGAGUAGGUAGAGAAACCUACACAGCCUGGAUGGGUGAUGACAGCUUGGAUGAUAGAAGCUUCAUGUUUGCCUGUCAAAAAAACCUGUCAGCUGCAAAGGCGAUAAGGGGGGCAGUUAAAAGAAGAUACUGGAGCCUUAAGCUUCUUAAUGUGCCAAGAAUCAAUCCCAUGAAAGCAAACAACUUGAAAAAGGGUUAUACGUAUUUAGGAAAUCUCUGAGGCUCCCUUCCUGCUCUGCUCGAGCUGGAGCGAGUGCUCAAGUUUUCUCACCCUAAUGACCCCUGAAGCAGCCCUGAGGGAUUGCAAAACAAGGCCGUUACACAAGGCAGCUUGCUAAUUGAGAAGUUGAUCGGGGGUAGAGAAAUCCUGCUUUACCACGUUAAGUGUCGAAAUCAAGCAUGACUAGAUUGACGUCGCCAAAUCACCGUCUGGAGGCCACUCCACGCCAGGAGCAGCAGGGCUUUUCACACCUGAUAGGCCCUCACUCUAUCUACAUCAAGUCACAUUAAGAAAGGAAUGUAUUACGGAACUGGAGUCCGUGCCCCUCAGAGCAUUACUCCACUGCCUAAUUGCUGCUUCUCCGCUUCCCCGCUUCCCCGAAGUAACAAAUGUGUCCACGUGGACCUGCAGCUUACCUGAUCCCUUUGGAAAACCAACCUUCCUCCACCUACUCUGCCGAUUUGCUCCAUUAUAAAAAUGCAACACCACCAAGACCCAGAGUAAGUUAGAGGAAGACAGUAGGGCUAGAAAUUUUGUAUUACAUAUCUCGAUCACAUUGAUUUAAAUUACAGGGACCUUGGAACAAUGUAUAAACGAUGACUCUUUAAACCUUUUAUUUUUAAAUGAAGUUGCAGAUGCAGGAUGUCUGAUCAACGAAAACGCCUGUCUCUCGGAUAGUGAUUUAGACACCACACGGUGUGCAGAGAGGAGAGACCUUCUGCUUUUGAACUUUGAGUCCCCAGUCACGGAUUUGCUGCUCUCCAACCUAAAAUCUCCUGUGACAGAUGGCAUAAUAGAUAUUCCCAACAGCCCAGACUAGCAGGCUGAUAUUACUUGGUAUUUUUUCUUAUAGUCUUUCUGACAGGUUCAAAGCACUUAACCAAUGAUGUGUUUUAGGUAGGGGAUAAAAGGUGACUUAGGAACUUUCCCCCUAUUUGUACCACUUUUUAAAUUUUAAAUCUCAGUUUUCUUACUGACACAAUGGAGCUAAUUCCUAUCUGUGCUCUGUUAACUGCAAGACACAUAAAGAAGAAAAAUGGCUUGUUUCCAACCGCAAAGGAUUUAUCGGCCAUUAGAAAAGAAAGUCUUCUAUAAAUCUGUAAUAGAAAAAUUAAUCCUUACCAUACAUUUUGAGAGGUGGUAGGUGGCAUCCAUUCUGUGAGUGGGGAAACAGAAGUAUAGAGAGGUAGCAGUGACAUGUCUAAGAUCUCAUAGUCAUUAACAGCAGUGAUAGAAAUCUGGCCGAGUCCGAGUCUAUGUGUUCUGAUACCUAGAAGGGUGCUCCCUACAUAAGGCACCUCCUUUCUUACCCUCAAUUGAAGUAUGAUACAUAGUAUGACAAACUAGUAACAAAAAGAAACAAACACAAAACACACAAAAGAAAAGGUGUUUUCGUUUGUUUAUUUUUACCUAGAAAAACAUAACAGGGCAAUCUACAGUAUUAUGUAACCUGGUACUGACUUCCAAGUUAUAAUCUAAACUUAACAUUAUGAUGUCCGUCAUGUUUUUAUAAAAAGCUCCCUAUUCUCUUUUGCAGCUCAAAAUUCAUAAAUAAACCCAUAUGAAUAAAA